UACAGAGGUCUCAAGCGUUGUUCGGAUUCAUUGGGCGUAAAGGGUGUGUAGGUGGCGCCGUAAGUCGGGUGUGAAAUUUCGGAGCUUAACUCCGAAACUGCAUUCGAUACUGCGGUGCUUGAGGACUGGAGAGGAGACUGGAAUUCAUGGUGUAGCGGUGAAAUGCGUAGAGAUCAUGAGGAAGACCAGUGGCGAAGGCGGGUCUCUGGACAGUUCCUGACGCUGAGGCACGAAGGUCAGGGGAGCAAACGGG
Molecule: ribosomal RNA, 253 nt
Filed under: uncultured bacterium
Lineage: Bacteria
Description: partial 16S ribosomal RNA
Rfam family: Bacterial small subunit ribosomal RNA
Source: RNAcentral